RNAcentral lists this unclassified non-coding RNA (336 nucleotides) under soil metagenome. RNAcentral describes it as "partial contains 5.8S ribosomal RNA, internal transcribed spacer 2, and large subunit ribosomal RNA". The stretch from base 1 to 120 matches the Rfam family "5.8S ribosomal RNA", at positions 35 to 154 of the family's 154-position model. The record is from RNAcentral.
GAUGAAGAACGUAGCGAAAUGCGAUAAGUAAUGUGAAUUGCAGAAUUCAGUGAAUCAUCGAAUCUUUGAACGCUCAUUGCGCCCGCCAGUAUUCUGGCGGGCAUGCCUGUUCGAGCGUCAUUUCAACCAUCAAGCCCCCGGCUUGUGUUGGGGACCUGCGGCUGCCGCAGGCCCUGAAAACCAGUGGCGGGCUCGCUGUCACACCGAGCGUAGUAGAUUUUCAUCUCGCUCAGGGCGUGCUGCGGGUUCCGGCCGUAAAAAGCCUUAUUUACCCAAGGUUGACCUCGGAUCAGGUAGGAAGACCCGCUGAACUUAAGCAUAUCAAUAAGCGGAGGA